This 254-nucleotide ribosomal RNA is filed under the name uncultured bacterium. RNAcentral's name for it is "partial 16S ribosomal RNA". It matches the Rfam family "Bacterial small subunit ribosomal RNA", at positions 524 to 776 of the family's 1533-position model. The record is from RNAcentral.
UACAGAGGUGGCAAGCGUUGUUCGGAAUUACUGGGCGUAAAGGGCGCGUAGGCGGUCUUCUAAGUCCUGUGUGAAAUCCCUCGGCUCAACUGAGGAACUGCACGGGAUACUGGAAGACUUGAGUUCGGGAGAGGGAAGCGGAAUUCCGGGUGUAGCGGUGAAAUGCGUAGAUAUCCGGAGGAACACCGGUGGCGAAGGCGGCUUCCUGGACCGAUUACUGACGCUGAGGCGCGAAAGCUAGGGGAGCAAACGGG